UACAGAGGAUGCAAGCGUUAUCCGGAAUGAUUGGGCGUAAAGCGUCUGUAGGUGGCUUUUUAAGUCCGCCGUCAAAUCCCAGGGCUCAACUCUGGACAGGCGGUGGAAACUACCAAGCUGGAGUACGGUAGAGGCAGGUGGAAUUCCGGGUGUAGCGGUGGAAUGCGUAGAGAUCCGGAAGAACACCGGUGGCGAAGGCGGCCUGCUGGGCAGUGGCUGACGCUGAGGCGCGACAGCGUGGGGAGCAAACAGG
This 253-nucleotide ribosomal RNA is filed under the name uncultured bacterium. Its description in RNAcentral is "partial 16S ribosomal RNA". It matches the Rfam family "Bacterial small subunit ribosomal RNA", at positions 524 to 776 of the family's 1533-position model. The record is from RNAcentral.